This 468-nucleotide ribosomal RNA is filed under the name uncultured bacterium. Its description in RNAcentral is "partial 16S ribosomal RNA". It matches the Rfam family "Bacterial small subunit ribosomal RNA", at positions 28 to 507 of the family's 1533-position model. The record is from RNAcentral.
GACGAACGCUGGCGGCGUGCUUAACACAUGCAAGUCGAACGGAAAGGCCCUGCUUUUGUGGGGUGCUCGAGUGGCGAACGGGUGAGUAACACGUGAGUAACCUGCCCUUGACUUUGGGAUAACUUCAGGAAACUGGGGCUAAUACCGGAUAGGAGCUCCUGCUGCAUGGUGGGGGUUGGAAAGUUUCGGCGGUUGGGGAUGGACUCGCGGCUUAUCAGCUUGUUGGUGGGGUAGUGGCUUACCAAGGCUUUGACGGGUAGCCGGCCUGAGAGGGUGACCGGCCACCUUGGGACUGAGAUACGGCCCAGACUCCUACGGGAGGCAGCAGUGGGGAAUAUUGCCCAGUGGGCGGAAGCCUGAUGCAGCAACGCCGCGUGCGGGAUGACGGCCUUCGGGUUGUAAACCGCUUUCGCCUGUGACGAAGCGUGAGUGACGGUAAUGGGUAAAGAAGCACCGGCUAACUACGUG